AGUAAAUCAUCUAUGCGUGUGUGUGUGUGUGUGUGUGUGUGUGUGUGUGUGUGUGUGUAUACACACACCUUCAAGCAUACCUUUAGGCUAUGCAAAAGUCCGUGAUAUCAGUUGCAUGCAAAUUGAAUAGGAUUAUGGUUAUAUUGCAUCCAGAACCUGGCUCCAUGCCAAAAUGUGUUCUAAUUUGUUCAAUGUUUUCCACAGGCACAAAAACAACACCACUGCCUCAGGAUUUAUCAAGAACAUACAGGACCUCUGAUCCUAUAUCACUAUGAAAAGGGCACCAUUUUCUGAAAAUAUUCAGUUAACUUUUAAAUUAAAUUCCCAAUAACCAUGUUAUUUAAUGUUAAUUUGCGUAUCAGAUAAUUAAGUGCGUGCUUUUGAAAAAUAUGUAAUGUAAUAUACGUUAAUUAUAUUCAUUAUAUUCAAUUAUAUCCAUCCAUCCAUCCAUCCAAACACCUAAUCAUUGUCAGGGCUGUGGGGGGUCUACAGCCAACCCCUGGCUGCAUAGGGCAUAUGACAGGGCUGCACCCCGAAUGGGAUGCCAGUUCAUAACUUCUCUUUUAAUUAUAAAUGAAUGUCUAAUUAAAGACCUGUCUUUUCCUGGACUUUUUGUAAGUUUAUAAUUCUAAACAUGACAGAUACAGCUUCCUGAAGCAUUAAGUAAUAUUUACUGCAAUGACUAAUUUGUUGGUUUUUGGAUUACCAUAUUAUCUUUAGUAUAUUAAAGGAAAUGCAGUGUAUUCACAUUUCUAAAAUAUGAAUACCGUAGAAAGGUGAUGAAAAGCUGUUGUUUUUGGAAUGUUGUGAAUGCUUGUAAAUGAGGUCAGCCCUCAUUUUAAAUGAAUACCAAAGAAUAGCAAGAAUCUAUUAAGAAAUUGCUUUUUUAAAAUUUCAAACGUAUUUACUAAAAGAAGACUUAACUUUGAAGAAGUGGACUUAUAACAGCCAUGGUGUUUCAUAGCCAUUUCUAAUGACUGAUUUUGUUAAAAAAUCGGAUCCAAACUGAGGUUUUACAGAAAAGCAUCCAGCAUUAUCAGUGUCAUGUAGAUAUAUUAAAUAUCCCCAUUCAAGGCCCCUUUCAAGAAAUGAAGGACUAGAAAUAGGUAAUAAAGACUUGCAGAAAUAUACUUCAUUAAUUGUACUCAUUUUUGUGCAAAUUAAUAUAUAAAGUUUUAUGUGAGAAGAAGAAACCCAGAACAAGCAGAUUUGGUCACUGCUGGUUCUGCCCUGAGCCAUUCCUCCCUGAGCCUUUCUGCCCUGAGCCUUUCUGCCCUGAGCCUUUCUGCCCUGAGUCUGUCUGCCCUGAGCCAUUCCUCCCUGAGCCUGUCUGCCCUGAGCCUUUCUGCCCUGAGUCUGUCUGCCCUGAGCCUGUCUGCCCUGAGCCUGUCUGCCCUGAGCCUGUCUGCCCUGAGCUUUUCAGCCCUGAGCCUGUCUGCCCUGACUCAUUGUUUUUCAGGAUAGCAUGUCCACUUUUCAUUUUGCUUUGGUACUGUGUGGACAUUUCACAAAUUUCAAUUUAUCUUACAGUAAGGGAAAAUUUGAACAGUUGACUCUUUAGUUCAAGGCCUGUCAUUUAAUCCAAAUUCCUUAAAUAACGGGAAUUUAGGAAUAAUCACAAUCAUUUCUAAUAUAUUUCUGGAUGUCUAUUAUUUGGCAUCAAGCUUGACAAGUCAGUUAUUUAGUUGUUUUUGCUUAAACAAGUUGGAGCAACAUGAAUCACACCUUUCACAGAAGCUGAAUCAGGCUACGUCAGUCCUCUGCAUGUCUAAUGAGAAUACAUUCAGGAAAGAUUAGACAGUAUUUUAUUAUUAUGACGGAUUAGAUUAAUAGAAAAGGAAGAAAAUCUCAAACAAAAAUCUUAAAGAGAUAAAGAGUUGUAUCCAAAACUUUGGAUGAAUAAACAAAACAUGAAAAUAUUAAAAGUAUAAAUCAGUUGUCAAUGAACUACUAUGCACAUAGUGAAAAUAAAAAAACAAAUGAAUUAGUUCUGGUAACUUUUAUUGUUAUGUUUUUAUUAUAUGCUUUUCUUUAGUUUAACGUGUAUAUGCAUACCCAUUUAAUGUUAUUAGCAUAUCUUACAACCAAUAGCAAACAGAUGGAGCAAACAUUACAAAGUCACAGAUUUACUAGGGAUUUUUCGGGGGAAAAAAAAAAUUGGGUUAGGGUUACCCUGUCUUCCUGUUAAACACAGGUUUAUGGGUGUCUGUGCUCAUUUACAAACAGGUUUAUUAUGUCACCAUGCUCACAUACAAAAUGCCUUGCCACAUAUCCAUGUUCACUUCGAAAUACAUUUGCCUUAUAAUAAUACACGUUCUUUUAAAAACAACUCUACUUCGCCGUUUCACCUACAAUCCAGUUUUCAUGUUGAACCACGCUUCUGCAUCUUUUCUGUUUGCACCAGUCUCAUAGCAAAGGGAAUUAUGAAAGUGCUUUGCGUUAUGAUUUAGGUAUGCUAUAAUCAAUUACAUUUUAUAUUAUAUAUGACAGCUGUACAAUGUUUAAGAUCUUUAGUAUUUUAAUAGGUAUACUAUUGCUGUAUGCCAGAGACAGCUGUUUCAACACAAUAUUUAUCUAAGUAAAUGUCACUAAAGAGGCACAUAGAAUAACAUGGUGUACAGAAACGACAUAAAACUCCUUUACAGGUGUGUGUCUGCAUGUGUAUGUGUUGUGUAUGUCGUGUGUGUGUGUGUGUCUGUGCGUUUGUGUGUGUGUAUAUCUCCGUGUUUGUCUGCAUGUGUGUGUAUGUAUGUCUGUGUGUGUGUGUGUGUAUUCUUUGUGUUACUGUCAUCCGCUCAGUGCCUGUCUUCCCUGAGGGCGGAUCUGAGCAGGCAGCAGAUUCAAGAUAACUCACAGAGUCUGAUGUAUCCAUGAUGAAUUACUGUGUCAGUUUAAAAGGCAAAAGAUUAAUUUGUUUCAAUAAUUCCUCUCUAGGCUGAAAGACUUUCUUCACUUGGUGAGGAAUUGUUUUCUUUAAUUUCUCGAUGUUUCUUUUUAAAAAUAUGCAAGUGAAAGAAUGUUAGUAAGUAGUUAUAUUGGUGUAUUUCAAUCAGGUUUAUACACAAACACACACACACAGUCAACUUUGUAUUUUUUCCUAUUAUCCUUCACAUAGAGCAAUUAGCAACACUAGAGCUAACUUGAAUUCUCCUGAAAAGGUAUUUAAAGACUCAGAAACAGAUUCAUAAAUAAAUAACUGAUCCUCUGAUCGUGAUUAUGAUGAUGAUAAAUGUGAUUCCCGAGAAGCACUUUGGAUUACUGAGCAAAGUCGUCGCUUGAUUAUUUGGUGUGUUUUUGUAUUUCACUUGAAGGAGACUCAGGAGCUUCAUUCACACUUUUGUGACACUUGAAACUACAUUUAUAUUUUUAUUUGGGAGAAAAAAAGAAAUCAUAUACAAGUCAUGCAAUGUUCAAUAAAGAAUAUCAAUUUAGUUUUUUGCAUUUUGCAUUUUUUCCUUUAUUGAUAUGACCUGUGUUUUAUGUAAGUGCAGUAAGGAUAUGUAUAGAAAUGUCAGCUUUUAUGUGGCUGUGUGAACAGUUUCAGCAUUUUAAUUUUCUUUCAGUCUGUCAUAUACACAUUCACACAUGUAAUUUAAUUAUCAUUCACUUUUUGGUUUUUACUUUCAUUAUAUAAAUGUGAAUGUAUAGGCACAAUAUAAUUAAAAUGAUGUUGAUCCAGA
This is a non-coding RNA of Paramormyrops kingsleyae, 3680 nucleotides long. NCBI's taxonomy places the organism in Eukaryota, Metazoa, Chordata, Actinopteri, Osteoglossiformes, Mormyridae. The record is from RefSeq and is a predicted model, not a curated record.